Molecule: ribosomal RNA, 397 nt
Filed under: uncultured bacterium
Lineage: Bacteria
Description: partial 16S ribosomal RNA
Rfam family: Bacterial small subunit ribosomal RNA
Source: RNAcentral
AUACGUAGGGGGCGAGCGUUGUCCGGAAUGAUUGGGCGUAAAGGGCGCGUAGGCGGCCCGGUAAGUCUGGAGUGAAAGUCCUGUUUUUAAGAUGGGAAUUGCUUUGGAUACUGUCGGGCUUGAGUGCAGGAGAGGUAAGUGGAAUUCCCAGUGUAGCGGUGAAAUGCGUAGAGAUUGGGAGGAACACCAGUGGCGAAGGCGACUUACUGGACUGUAACUGACGCCGAGGCGCGAAAGUGUGGGGAGCAAACAGGAUUAGAUACCCUGGUAGUCCACGCUGUAAACGAUGAAUGCUAGGUGUAGGGGGUAUCGACCCCUCCUGUGCCGGAGUAAACGCAAUAAGCAUUCCGCCUGGGGAGUACGGCCGCAAGGUUGAAACUCAAAGGAAUUGACGGGG